UACGUAGGGACCAAGCGUUGCCCGGAAUCAUUGGGCGUAAAGAGCGUGUAGGCGGCUUGUUAAGUCUUGCGUGAAAUCUCGGGGCUCAACCCCGAGCGGUCGUGAGAAACUGGCAGGCUAGAGUGCGGGAGAGGAGAGUGGAAUUCCUGGUGUAGCGGUGAAAUGCGCAGAUAUCAGGAGGAACACCAAUGGCGAAGGCAGCUCGCUGGAACGGUACUGACGCUGAGGCGCGAAAGCGUGGGGAGCAAACAGG
This 253-nucleotide ribosomal RNA is filed under the name uncultured bacterium. RNAcentral's name for it is "partial 16S ribosomal RNA". It matches the Rfam family "Bacterial small subunit ribosomal RNA", at positions 524 to 776 of the family's 1533-position model. The record is from RNAcentral.